Molecule: ribosomal RNA, 388 nt
Filed under: uncultured bacterium
Lineage: Bacteria
Description: bacterial SSU rRNA
Rfam family: Bacterial small subunit ribosomal RNA
Source: RNAcentral
GAUGAACGCUAGCGGGAGGCCUAACACAUGCAAGCCGAGCGGUAGAGAUUCUUCGGAAUCUUGAGAGCGGCGUACGGGUGCGGAACACGUGUGCAACCUACCUUUAUCUGGAGGAUAGCCUUUCGAAAGGAAGAUUAAAUACUCCAUAAUAUAUUGAUUGGCAUCAAUUGAUAUUGAAAGCUCCGGCGGAUAGAGAUGGGCACGCGCAAGAUUAGUUAGUUGGUGAGGUAACGGCUCACCAAGACGAUGAUCUUUAGGGGCCUGAGAGGGUGAUCCCCCACACUGGUACUGAGACACGGACCAGACUCCUACGGGAGGCAGCAGUGAGGAAUAUUGGUCAAUGGGUGCAAGCCUGAACCAGCCAUCCCGCGUGAAGGACGACUGCCCU